CCUCUUCGAUCUGCUGCGGGCAGAUGAAGUGAAUGUGCGAGUCGAUACCGCCAGCGGUGAGCAACAUGCCUUCCCCGGCGAUGACCUCCGUGCUGGCGCCGAUGGCGAUGCUCACGUCGGGCUGAAUGUCCGGGUUGCCUGCCUUGCCAAUGGCAUGAAUGCGCCCGUCUUUGAGACCUACGUCGGCUUUGACGAUGCCCCAGUGGUCGAUGAUCAGCGCGUUGGUGAUCAGCGUAUCGACCACCUCGGCGGCGCACAGUUGGCUUUGCCCCAUGCCGUCGCGG
RNAcentral lists this small RNA (284 nucleotides) under Atopomonas hussainii. RNAcentral describes it as "Pseudomonas hussainii 5' ureB small RNA". It matches the Rfam family "5' ureB small RNA". The record is from Rfam by way of RNAcentral. Lineage: Bacteria; Pseudomonadati; Pseudomonadota; Gammaproteobacteria; Pseudomonadales; Pseudomonadaceae.